UUGUGUCUGUGUAUGAGUGAGUUUGUGAGUCAGGGUUGGGUCAGAUUACUUUGAAAUGCAAUCCAUUACUGAUUACAAAUUACAUGGCAUUUUUUUGUAAUCAGUAACGUAAUCAGUUGGAUUAC
Molecule: long non-coding RNA, 125 nt
Organism: Alosa sapidissima (American shad)
Lineage: Eukaryota; Metazoa; Chordata; Actinopteri; Clupeiformes; Clupeidae
Exons: 3
Source: RefSeq, a predicted model, not a curated record